AACGAACGCUGGCGGCAGGCUUAACACAUGCAAGUCGAACGCCCCGCAAGGGGCGUGGCAGACGGGUGAGUAACGCGUGGGAACAUACCCUUUUCUACGGAAUAGCUCUGGGAAACUGGAAUUAAUACCGUAUACCCCCUACGGGGGAAAGAUUUAUCGGGGAAGGAUUGGCCCGCGUUGGAUUAGCUAGUUGGUGGGGUAAAGGCCUACCAAGGCGACGAUCCAUAGCUGGUCUGAGAGGAUGAUCAGCCACAUUGGGACUGAGACACGGCCCAAACUCCUACGGGAGGCAGCAGUGGGGAAUAUUGGACAAUGGGCGCAAGCCUGAUCCAGCCAUGCCGCGUGAGUGAUGAAGGCCUUAGGGUUGUAAAGCUCUUUCACCGAUGAAGAUAAUGACGGUAGUCGGAGAAGAAGCCCCGGCUAACUUCGUG
This 431-nucleotide ribosomal RNA is filed under the name uncultured bacterium. Its description in RNAcentral is "partial 16S ribosomal RNA". It matches the Rfam family "Bacterial small subunit ribosomal RNA", at positions 29 to 507 of the family's 1533-position model. The record is from RNAcentral.